Molecule: ribosomal RNA, 442 nt
Filed under: uncultured Alphaproteobacteria bacterium
Lineage: Bacteria; Pseudomonadati; Pseudomonadota; Alphaproteobacteria
Description: bacterial SSU rRNA
Rfam family: Bacterial small subunit ribosomal RNA
Source: RNAcentral
AACGAACGCUGGCGGCAGGCUUAACACAUGCAAGUCGAACGAGAAAUCACCUUCGGGUGAGAGUAGAGUGGCGCACGGGUGAGUAACGCGUGGGAACGUACCCUAAAGUACGGAAUAGCCCCGGGAAACUGGGAUUAAUACCGUAUACGCCCUUCGGGGGAAAGGUUUACCGCUUUAGGAUCGGCCCGCGUUAGAUUAGUUUGUUGGUGGGGUAAUGGCCUACCAAGACUACGAUCUAUAGCUGGUCUGAGAGGAUGAUCAGCCACACUGGAACUGAGACACGGUCCAGACUCCUACGGGAGGCAGCAGUGAGGAAUAUUGGACAAUGGGGGAAACCCUGAUCCAGCCAUGCCGCGUGAAUGAUGAAGGCCUUAGGGUUGUAAAGUUCUUUCGCUAGUGAAGAUAAUGACGGUAACUAGUAAAGAAGCCCCGGCUAACUUCG